Molecule: ribosomal RNA, 95 nt
Filed under: Mesocricetibacter intestinalis
Lineage: Bacteria; Pseudomonadati; Pseudomonadota; Gammaproteobacteria; Pasteurellales; Pasteurellaceae
Source: RNAcentral
GUCCCACCUGACCCCAUGCCGAACUCAGAAGUGAAACGCCGUAACGCCGAUGGUAGUGUGGGGCUUCCCCAUGUGAGAGUAGGUCACCGCCAGGU